UGGGGAAUAUUGCACAAUGGGCGCAAGCCUGAUGCAGCCAUGCCGCGUGUGUGAAGAAGGCCUUCGGGUUGUAAAGCACUUUCAGCGGGGAGGAAGGCGUUAAGGUUAAUAACCUUAUCAAUUGACGUUACCGACAGAAGAAGCACCGGCUAACUCCGUGCCAGCAGCCGCGGUAAUACGGAGGGUGCAAGCGUUAAUCGGAAUUACUGGGCGUAAAGCGCACGCAGGCGGUUGAUUGAGUCAGAUGUGAAAUCCCCGGGCUUAACCCGGGAAUUGCAUCUGAUACUGGUCAGCUAGAGUCUUGUAGAGGGGGGUAGAAUUCCAUGUGUAGCGGUGAAAUGCGUAGAGAUGUGGAGGAAUACCGGUGGCGAAGGCGGCCCCCUGGACAAAGACUGACGCUCAGGUGCGAAAGCGUGGGGAGCAAACAGG
RNAcentral lists this ribosomal RNA (429 nucleotides) under Chloroflexota bacterium. RNAcentral's name for it is "Chloroflexi bacterium partial 16S ribosomal RNA". It matches the Rfam family "Bacterial small subunit ribosomal RNA", at positions 355 to 776 of the family's 1533-position model. Lineage: Bacteria; Bacillati; Chloroflexota. The record is from RNAcentral.